RNAcentral lists this ribosomal RNA (477 nucleotides) under uncultured Methanosarcinales archaeon. RNAcentral describes it as "bacterial SSU rRNA". It matches the Rfam family "Archaeal small subunit ribosomal RNA", at positions 336 to 813 of the family's 1478-position model. RNAcentral also lists the same sequence under 1 other name. Lineage: Archaea; Methanobacteriati; Methanobacteriota; Methanomicrobia; Methanosarcinales. The record is from RNAcentral.
CAGGCGCGAAAACUUUACAAUGCGGGAAACCGCGAUAAGGGGACACCGAGUGCCAGCCUCCUAUGUUGGCUGUCCAUAUGUAUAAAUCACAUGUGUUAGCAAGGGCCGGGCAAGACCGGUGCCAGCCGCCGCGGUAACACCGGCGGCCCGAGUGGUGGCCACUAUUAUUGGGUCUAAAGGGUCCGUAGCCGGUUUGGUCAGUCUUCCGGGAAAUCUGACGGCUUAACCGUUAGGCUUUCGGGGGAUACUACCAGGCUUGGGACCGGGAGAGGUAAGAGGUACUCCGGGGGUAGGAGUGAAAUCUUGUAAUCCCCGUGGGACCACCAGUGGCGAAGGCGUCUUACCAGAACGGGUCCGACGGUGAGGGACGAAAGCUGGGGGCACGAACCGGAUUAGAUACCCGGGUAGUCCCAGCUGUAAACUAUGCUCGCUAGGUGUCAGGGACGGUGCGACCGUUUCUGGUGCCGCAGGGAAGCC